GAUGAACGCUGGCGGCGUGCCUAAUACAUGCAAGUCGAGCGAACAGACGAGGAGCUUGCUCCUCUGACGUUAGCGGCGGACGGGUGAGUAACACGUGGAUAACCUACCUAUCAGACUGGGAUAACUUCGGGAAACCGGAGCUAAUACCGGAUAAUAUAUUGAACCGCAUGGUUCAAUAGUGAAAGACGGUUUUGCUGUCACUUAUAGCUGGAUCCGCGCCGCAUUAGCUAGUUGGUAAGGUAACGGCUUACCAAGGCGACGAUGCGUAGCCGACCUGAGAGGGUGAUCGGCCACACUGGAACUGAGACACGGUCCAGACGCCUACGGGAGGCAGCAGUAGGGAAUCUUCCGCAAUGGGCGAAAGCCUGACGGAGCAACGCCGCGUGAGUGAUGAAGGUCUUCGGAUCGUAAAACUCUGUUAUUAGGGAAGAACAAAUGUGUAAGUAACUAUGCACGUCUUGACGGUACCUAAUCAGAAAGCCACGGCUAACUACGUG
RNAcentral lists this ribosomal RNA (497 nucleotides) under uncultured bacterium. RNAcentral's name for it is "partial 16S ribosomal RNA". It matches the Rfam family "Bacterial small subunit ribosomal RNA", at positions 28 to 507 of the family's 1533-position model. The record is from RNAcentral.